GAAAUGCGAUAAGUAAUGUGAAUUGCAGAAUUCAGUGAAUCAUCGAAUCUUUGAACGCACCUUGCGCUCCUUGGUAUUCCUUGGAGCAUGCCUGUUUGAGUAUCAUGAAAUCUUCAAAGUAAAUCUUUUGUUAACUCAAUUGGUUUCUACUUUGGUAUUGGAGGUCUUUGCAGCUUCACACCUGCUCCUCUUUGUUCAUUAGCUGGAUCUCAGUGUUAUGCUUGGUUCCACUCGGCGUGAUAAGUUAUGUAUCGCUGAGGACACUGUAAAAGGUGGCCAAGGUAAAUGCAGAUGAACCGCUUCUAAUAGUCCAUUGACUUGGACAAUACUUUUAUGAUCUGAUCUCAAAUCAGGUAGGACUACCCGCUGAACUUAAGC
RNAcentral lists this unclassified non-coding RNA (378 nucleotides) under plant metagenome. RNAcentral's name for it is "partial contains 5.8S ribosomal RNA, internal transcribed spacer 2, and large subunit ribosomal RNA". The stretch from base 1 to 105 matches the Rfam family "5.8S ribosomal RNA", at positions 50 to 154 of the family's 154-position model. The record is from RNAcentral.